CCAAAGCCAUGUACACAAAGAUACCUCUGAAAGUCAUUUUGCUUUAACACGCCUUAAAGAUGUGUCUUUCACGAAAACCACAAGUGCAUGAUGUUUGAGGAGUAAAAUUAAGCACCCCCCAAGUUAAAAGAGUGCAAUUAUAUGCAUUCCCUUUGGGGAAUAAGCUCCUCCAAAUUGCAGAGGAUGUGUUCAGAGCACUCUGGGUUGGCUAGUUUAUGUUAAUUUUUUAGAAUGCUGCCUACUCUAUUUGACUCACUUUGCCAUUUUGUGCUUUUCUUGAUAGACUUCUAAAAAUAAUUUAUGUAAAGUCCUGCUUGGCUUCUGAACUACAACACUUGUGCCUCUACAGAAAAAUGAAGACAAGACACAGCAGGGGUCAGAAAUCUACUGCACAUAGGCAACAGCAGCGGUGAAAAUGUAACUACACUGACUUUGGAGUAGCAAUGAAAAAGUGAAUAUCUGAAAUCUCUAUUAGGACUGUGAUGCCCAUGGUGACCCUUGAAACUCCACAUCUUCACAGACACUGUGACCCAGAUGCACUUAAUGGGCUCCCGAUUCUUGGGUUUUGCUGUAGAUCAGAUGGACAUUGUGGGCAGUGGCACUCUCCUCUCACUGUCUUCUGCCUCAGCUUUCUUGUUGACUUCCUUCAUAACAGAGCAGGCACACCCCAUAGUGAAAGUUCUCCUGAGCAGGCAAGAGCUUUCCACACCAUGUCAGUACUGUACAGCACAUGCACGGGGGUUCUAGUCUCGUGGUAGGAAGUGGCAAAGUGCUGUUGGAGGCAAAAAGACUAAGACACAGAAAAUGUGUCUUAGUAAAUGCUAAUGAACAUGAGGUAUGAGUAUGCCACUUAAGGACACUGGUCUGCACACAAUGUCUGUGGAAUAUAAUGAAGAUGGUCCUUGCUGCUCUCUCUGAAUCUCUCUAUCUUCCUUUCAGCCUCAGAGUCCUUCAAAGGUAUCCUCCCACCCAGCCCCAGCUCUCAGUUGAUUCACUCACACUGCUUACAGAUCCAUCCGCUGAAAAGUACCCACCUGCUCGGCAGAAUUCAUCGGCCUCCUGGUGCACCAUGUCUUUGACCCGAUUGCUGUAGGUCAACCUGGAAUCUUGAUCAUAAGCCUUCAGGGUCUCGCUGGAGCUGUAGGACUUCUGGGGUACCUUGCUGUCCUCACUCUCAGCCGAAGAGCUCGUGUAGCGACGCUCAGUGUCGCGGCGCCGAGUCAGAGAUCGAUACGGUUUCCUCUCUUUUACAUCCAUGGCACCCUUAUCUGAGUAUUCAACAUUAAAAAAAUGACGUCUGUGUGGUGGUCAGAUUGGAAUAACCUGAAAGAGAGAAUAAAAGAAAUUCAUGCCUUUGGG
Molecule: long non-coding RNA, 1359 nt
Organism: Pseudopipra pipra
Lineage: Eukaryota; Metazoa; Chordata; Aves; Passeriformes; Pipridae
Exons: 2
Source: RefSeq, a predicted model, not a curated record